RNAcentral lists this ribosomal RNA (358 nucleotides) under Bacillus subtilis. RNAcentral describes it as "bacterial SSU rRNA". It matches the Rfam family "Bacterial small subunit ribosomal RNA", at positions 90 to 442 of the family's 1533-position model. Lineage: Bacteria; Bacillati; Bacillota; Bacilli; Caryophanales; Bacillaceae. The record is from RNAcentral.
UGUUAGCGGCGGACGGGUGAUAACACGUGGGUAACCUGCCUGUAAGACUGGGAUAACUCCGGGAAACCGGGGCUAAUACCGGAUGCUUGUUUGAACCGCAUGGUUCAAACAUAAAAGGUGGCUUCGGCUACCACUUACAGAUGGACCCGCGGCGCAUUAGCUAGUUGGUGAGGUAAUGGCUCACCAAGGCAACGAUGCGUAGCCGACCUGAGAGGGUGAUCGGCCACACUGGGACUGAGACACGGCCCAGACUCCUACGGGAGGCAGCAGUAGGGAAUCUUCCGCAAUGGACGAAAGUCUGACGGAGCAACGCCGCGUGAGUGAUGAAGGUUUUCGGAUCGUAAAGCUCUGUUGUUAG